Molecule: long non-coding RNA, 3744 nt
Organism: Zea mays
Lineage: Eukaryota; Viridiplantae; Streptophyta; Magnoliopsida; Poales; Poaceae
Exons: 3
Source: RefSeq, a predicted model, not a curated record
CACACCCCUGCACCAACGCCAUUUUCGUGCCUGGAUAGAUCGUAGAUCUAUGAGGUAGCAUCGAAUGGCUCCCCCGUAGGAAGGGUAGAGCCUCCGUGUGGCGGCCUCCAGAUCGCAACUCCGGUUCUUCUUCCCACCCCGCAGUGAGACCCGCCCCAACCCCUUUCUUCUCCCUCUCUAUCCAUCCUCGACCCCUCUCUCGUAAUAAGGAAGGACAGAGCUCAACCAAGGCGCUCCCCUCACCAGGCGCAUCGACGGACCGAAUUUUGGUGAAGAGAAUGCUUGGAGCACCUCUAUCCCCUCCACGAUGGAGGCCAGGUACACGACAAUCGUGCCAGGGAACAACACCGAUUUGACGCCGUUUUGGAGGUGAGGUAGGGGUGAUUUCGAAUGCUUCAAGGAUUUCAUGACUGGUUUGUGUUGAUCUAAUUCAUUCUUGGUCGUUUUCGUUUUCAAAGGAUCUACGCCCUCGUGGCAUGCUUGGUGGUCGGACUUUCCCUCACCUCUAUCCCCUCUAGGCCUCCGUGAUGGAGGCUGGGUACUCAGCGGCCAUGGCCUGAUUCGCCGCUCGCGUGACCGGGGACGCCGAUGUACUAAGGGUGGUUGUGGGUUGAUCUCUGCAACACCAACAUCAAGCCCGCCUCUUCUCCGUCCCCGUCCCCCCACGUCUAUCGUGCUCCUCGCCCUCCUAACGCCGUCCUCUCCAUCUAGCGCCACAGCCGAUGCACGCCUCCGGGCUCACGCCGCGCCAAGCCCGUGGGGAGGCAGAUCUCGCCCAUAGGCCGCAGAUCUCCUUCCAAACUAGGAGGCAACAACCUGGCAAGGGGCGACCUUGCAUGGUAGGCAGACCCCUUCCACAAAGGACACAAUUUCACCCCCUUCCAUAUAUUGGCGGCCAUGGCAUGCACUACGCCCCCUUCCUCGCCCUCAUUCCAAAUUCAGCCCUCCACUGCGCAUGCACCCACCUCAAUCGACUACUAUUGUCUGCAUCGGCAGUGCUAUUGUUCUGGUUGGUUCGAACUUGAGGAGGUGCGCAGAGGUGGUGGUGAGUUUGUUGUUCAUUUUUCUGUAGUAAGUCAAAGGGCCACUGUGGCUGGAUUUCAAAGUCGCAUCACUGAACUACUAGGUGCACAAGGGCAUUUUCUAAAAUCUGUGAGAUCAGGUUUUUUCCCUCUCCUGUAUUGAGUGCUUGCCCAUUCGGUCAGAUUGGUUCGAGCACAUCUAAUUUGGUCUCGGUCUCUCGGAGGAGUAUAGUGGCACAAAUUUCAUGCCCUUUUGCUCCUCUACUUUUUCUUGAAAAUGUGGCUUGAUUAUGUCAGAGUGGUUCUAGAUUUGUUCAUUGGGCAAGAUUGGCCUGGUUUUCUAAAAUGACCCCAUGAUUUUAAGUGUCAAGAUCUUUAAUGCUUUUGUAUAUGAGUCAAGUAAUUGCCAUGUAUCUCUUCUGUAUUUGGUCAUGGAUUGGAUCCUGUAAUGUUUAUAGUGUUCCAUUUUGUUGAUCCAAGCCACCAAUGGAGUAAAAACUAGAGAAUUUUUUCCCAAUUGGUUAUAUGUAUCAGUUUUCUUGUUUCUGUGCUGAGAUGCUGGUGAACCUGUAGGUGCCUGAGUCAUUUUGGGGCAUUCAAAUCGUAGAGCUCUGUUGGGGUGAAUCCAGUGAUGUGAGUACCUUUUAAACUAUCAUGGUAUGGUUUAUAUUCUCUAUCGAAAACUCACAUUUUUGUGCUAUUUUGCUUGAUGCUUGGAAGAAUCUGUUGUUUGGUUUAUCUAUUGUAUACAUUCAUGUGUUAUUCUGCUAGAUGCUUGGAAGAAGCCAUCUAUGGAAUUGUUUGAAAUGAUUUGAGCAUUUAAUCCCUUAUCUUUGAAUAGAUGACAUAAUUGGAGAAUCUGUCCAUAUAUCUAUGCGAUGUUCUGUAUUUACUACAAGCACCAUUAUAGGAUAAUAGUGUUCUUCCAUAGUCCCUUGCAUCGGUUGGGCUUUAAUUUCAAUAGUCUUGCAUCGGUUGGUAUUUAAUAGUCUUGCAUCGGUUGGGCUUUUUCUGAAGCGCUAAUAGUGUUCUUCCAUAGUCCCUUGUCCUUAUGUCCUUUGUGGAAGGUCGAGGAUAUUUUAGGUUCAAACCAUGUAUAAUUUCAUUUCUGCCCCAAUUAGGUGGCUACAACUUACCUGCGUAGACAAAAUAUAAGUAUGUGCAAUAAUAUAGCUAGCAGAGUCGAUCUUCCCUAUGCUAUAGAGCAUGUAAAUUACUUAUAAUUUGUCUAACAAAAACUGACCCAAUCCUAGAAAUAGGGAUGGCAAACAGUAGGACUAGAAUUCAGCUGCAAAAUGCCAGGGACCAUAUAAGUCAGGUAAUAACUACCAGGAAAGUGAAGCUAUCUAUUUCUAGCUGCACACUAUAUAGCUGACCAGUGCAUUUCUGACUUUGUAUGCUUUAGGAUUUCCUCUUCUUGGACCUACUGAAGCAGGUAAAGGUGCUUUUUCUAGAACAACAUUUCAUCUUCCCAUCAGUGAGGUUAGUUGUCCUCUAAAAAUUUUAGUUUUUAUCCCUGCUAUCAAAGGUUUAACAUGCCUUGUUAUUAUGUCAUACCAUGAUGAAAUUAAACCCAUGAUAAAAUUAAAAACCAUGUACACGGAUCAUAGAAACCCACUAACAGAAUUAUAGAAACCACAUAAGCAGAAUAGAAAACGGUUCUCUGAAAAUGAAGAACAUUAUUGUUGUGUUCUAAAUCAGGAUUUGGUGUUACACCAGGUGUUCGACGCGAUUCCUUGCAUUAUUUUUCAGUUGUAACAUACCACAAGAUUAUGUGGUUUUGGGAUUAUUUAUUUCUCAGGAACAGUUUAUUAAUUAGUUUCAUUUUAUUCUUAUCAGCAUGCUCUCUCUCAUGAGACAUUGAUUAGUGUAUUAUGUAUUCUGGAUGAUGUGUGUUGUGCCAUACCAUGUAUUUGUUCUGAAGAACAAUUAAUUCAUUAGCUAUUUGGGCUAUUAUGUCUAGAAUAUGGUUGCUUAGAUCUUCCAACUUAUAGUGUGUUUGUAGCUUCUGUAGAAAUAUAUUCAAUGUGUGUUCACAUAUUUUUAGAGAUUUGGACACCUUACAAAGGAUAAGGAUUACGAGGAUCCACCAGACUCUGCAUCGGCGUGCCCACGCGCCAGAUGGCCAUUGAGGAACACUACCGAUGCAGGCGCCAUCUUUGGUAGCUGAGGACAAAUUAAAGUUUGCCUUCCUGUGAAUUUUCUACCUUUUCCAAAUUUAAAGUCAUUAAGAGUUCAAGAUUGUGAUGAUUUGUAGUACUGAAUUGGAGGCUUUUAUCCCCUGCAAUUUAUGUGGUACAAGUAAGGGUGUUGUGUGAGAAGGCAAAGGAGAUUCUAAUGGAGGAAAGAAAUGUUCAGUUUGUGGGUAGAUGUGGAUCAUAAUCAGCUACUCUAUCUGUAGCAGUGCGAGUAUUUCCAACACCAACACCGACGAUACAGAGCCCGGGGGAAGUAGCAAGAUUUUGAGCUCCUACAGUUAGACAGCCGCCAGACCCAGUCACGACGACUGAUGUUGGAAACCAGCGGCGCGCCUACUUCAGUUGAGUGCAAAGCUACCAACAUCUGAUCCAUGCUUUUGGGUUCUUUGUAUCUGUAUCUAUCAAUUCAUUAAGUGCAGACAAUCCAUGUUUCUGCCACCAAAUGGGGCAUAUUUUCCCUCUGGUCCAGUUUUAACUUGAGAACAAUUGAACAAAUGUCCAAUGUGAUGUCUGAUUUCUCAACA